RNAcentral lists this ribosomal RNA (631 nucleotides) under uncultured bacterium. RNAcentral describes it as "bacterial SSU rRNA". The stretch from base 1 to 544 matches the Rfam family "Bacterial small subunit ribosomal RNA", at positions 338 to 873 of the family's 1533-position model. The record is from RNAcentral.
CCUACGGGAGGCAGCAGUGGGGAAUUUUGGACAAUGGGCGCAAGCCUGAUCCAGCAAUGCCGCGUGAGUGAAGAAGGCCUUCGGGUUGUAAAGCUCUUUUGUCAGGGAAGAAACGGUGGUUCCUAAUACGGACUACUAAUGACGGUACCUGAAGAAUAAGCACCGGCUAACUACGUGCCAGCAGCCGCGGUAAUACGUAGGGUGCAAGCGUUAAUCGGAAUUACUGGGCGUAAAGCGUGCGCAGGCGGUUAUAUAAGUCAGAUGUGAAAUCCCCGGGCUCAACCUGGGAACUGCAUUUGAGACUGUAUGGCUAGAGUGUGUCAGAGGGGGGUAGAAUUCCACGUGUAGCAGUGAAAUGCGUAGAUAUGUGGAGGAGUACCGAUGGCGAAGGCGCCCCUCGGAGUAACACUGACGCUCAUGCACGAAAGACGUGGGGAGGCAACAAGGAUUAGAUACCUCGUAGUCCACGCCUAAACCGAAUGUCUACUAGUUGUCGGGACGUUAAUUGUCUUGGUUAACGCAGCGACGACGUGAGUAGACGACCGCGGAGGUAAGGUCGUCGAGAAGUAAAGUUAACGUUAAAGAAGUUAGUUAGGCGNGAGAGAGCGACGACGACGACGAGGAGGAGGAG